GCCGCCAUCGCUUAGUGGUAGAGCACACGCUUGGAGAGCGUGGUCCUUUGGACUCCUGGGUUCGAUUCCCAGUGGCGGCG
RNAcentral lists this transfer RNA (80 nucleotides) under Candidatus Pacearchaeota archaeon. RNAcentral describes it as "tRNA-Ser". It matches the Rfam family "tRNA". From Rfam's summary of the family: Transfer RNA (tRNA) molecules are approximately 80 nucleotides in length. Their secondary structure includes four short double-helical elements and three loops (D, anti-codon, and T loops). The record is from RNAcentral. Lineage: Archaea; Nanobdellati.